This 253-nucleotide ribosomal RNA is filed under the name uncultured bacterium. Its description in RNAcentral is "partial 16S ribosomal RNA". It matches the Rfam family "Bacterial small subunit ribosomal RNA", at positions 524 to 776 of the family's 1533-position model. The record is from RNAcentral.
UACGAAGGGGGCUAGCGUUGCUCGGAAUCACUGGGCGUAAAGCGCACGUAGGCGGAUUGCUAAGUCAGGGGUGAAAUCCUGGAGCUCAACUCCAGAACUGCCUUUGAUACUGGCGAUCUUGAGUCCGGGAGAGGUGAGUGGAACUGCGAGUGUAGAAGUGAAAUUCGUAGAUAUUCGCAAGAACACCAGUGGCGAAGGCGGCUCACUGGCCCGGUACUGACGCUGAGGUGCGAAAGCGUGGGGAGCAAACAGG